RNAcentral lists this ribosomal RNA (207 nucleotides) under uncultured bacterium. Its description in RNAcentral is "partial 16S ribosomal RNA". It matches the Rfam family "Bacterial small subunit ribosomal RNA", at positions 568 to 774 of the family's 1533-position model. The record is from RNAcentral.
UAUGCAGGCGGAUUGUUAAGUAGGAAGUGAAAGGUUGGAGCUCAACUCUAACACUGCUCCCUAUACUGGCAGUCUUGAGUGGCGGAGAGGAAGAUGGAACGACACGUGUAGCGGUGAAAUGCGUUGAUAUGUGUCGGAACACCAAUGGCGAAAGCAAUCUUCUGGACGCAAACUGACGCUGAGAUACGAAAGCCAAGGUAGCAAACA